Long non-coding RNA from Ornithorhynchus anatinus (platypus), 549 nucleotides. RefSeq lists it as uncharacterized. NCBI's taxonomy places the organism in Eukaryota, Metazoa, Chordata, Mammalia, Monotremata, Ornithorhynchidae. The transcript is spliced from 3 exons. The record is from RefSeq and is a predicted model, not a curated record.
UCACUCACCAUCUUGGAGACUCCAGGCAGGCUGCAGUGGGGUGAGGGGAGCAGUGCAGAGCCGACGACAUCUCAGGUCGGUAGUCAUUAGCAGGCCCUGAAAUGGAAUGUUUUGCCAAGCUACAACUUAAAACGGGAUCAGCAAAAUGUUUUCUUUCUUGGCAAUCAUCAUGAAGUCAUUGUCCAAUUGAGGACAUUAAACACUUCAGAGCUUCACUGUACGAGGUCUCCUAAAAGAACUGUGGUUCUUGGAAUCGAAUAUCUCACCAGCAGUUACACAGGGGUGCACUUGUCAUUACUUCAAGGGACUCUUGUGAGGAGAGGAAGGAAUUGAAGGGGAAGUCAAGGAAGGAUGCCUAUGGCAGCCCUGACAGUUCUGUGACCCAGGGCCUGUAUUGACUUUGGGGUCAAGACCAAACUCAGUGGUGCUGGACCUGGAUAUUCUUCCCUGUCUUGGGCCAUGUCUCUGCUGGGCCUGCCAGACAGAUGCUGUGGAGGAGGAAGAAGAGGAAGCAGCAUGGCUUAGUGGAAAGAGCGUGGGCCUGGGAAU